This 443-nucleotide ribosomal RNA is filed under the name uncultured bacterium. RNAcentral's name for it is "partial 16S ribosomal RNA". It matches the Rfam family "Bacterial small subunit ribosomal RNA", at positions 338 to 795 of the family's 1533-position model. The record is from RNAcentral.
CCUACGGGCGGCAGCAGUGGGGAAUAUUGGGCAAUGGGCGCAAGCCUGACCCAGCAACGCCGCGUGAAGGAAGAAGGCUUUCGGGUUGUAAACUUCUUUUUUCAGGGACGUAGCAAGUGACGGUACCUGCUGAAUAAGCCACGGCUAACUAUGUGCCAGCAGCCGCGGUAAUACGUAGGUGGCAAGCGUUAGCCGGAUUUACUGGGUGUAAAGGUCGUGUAGGCGGGAGUGCAAGUCAGAUGUGAAAACUAUGGGCUGAACCCAUAGACUGCAUUUGAAACUGUACUUCUUGAGUGCUGGUGAGGCAAUCGGAAUUCCGUGUGUAGCGGUGAAAUGCGUAGAUAUACGGAAGAACACCAGUGGCGAAGGCGGAUUGCUGAACAGUAACUGACACUGAGGCGCGAAAGCGUGGGGAGCAAACAGGAUUAGAUACCCCAGUAGUC